UCCCCGAGGCGGCCUCUGUCCCCUUCGCCCCUUCCCCCCCCCCCCCCGCCCCCGUCCCCGCCCCGGGGGCCGCCGCCACCCGUCUCCCACCAUGGCUCUGAAGAGAAUCCACAAGGAAUUGAAUGACCUGGCACGGGAUCCCCCAGCACAGUGUUCAGCAGGUCCUGUUGGAGAUGAUAUGUUCCAUUGGCAAGCUACAAUAAUGGGGCCAAAUGACAGUCCCUAUCAGGGUGGAGUAUUUUUCUUGACAAUUCAUUUUCCAACAGAUUAUCCCUUCAAA
Molecule: long non-coding RNA, 280 nt
Organism: Galeopterus variegatus (Sunda flying lemur)
Lineage: Eukaryota; Metazoa; Chordata; Mammalia; Dermoptera; Cynocephalidae
Exons: 4
Source: RefSeq, a predicted model, not a curated record